ACCAACGGAUUCCCUCCAGUCUUCCACAGGAGAGACUCUCAAAGCAAGAAUUUCAGGACCAUCAGAAAGAGAAUCACCUGGGGAGCACUGCAGGUGCCCAUACUCCACUUUAAAUGAAAUCACUGAGUAGAGGCCAGGGAUGUACACAACCUCCUAGGUGAUUUGAAAAACACCAAAGUCUGAAAUCCGUACUUCAAAGACAAGUCUUCCAUCUACCGGGAAACAGGAAAACACAAGUCAGGCGUGGAAAUACGACGCGGGUAGAGGGCAAUUCCAUAUGGUGAAGAGACAUAGAGGCCUCGGCCAAGAACCAGAAUGUCAACAAAGAAGCGGUUAGAUGCAGAAACUGAGGGUGGAAGAAGGAAACAGGGAAGGAAGAUGAAACAGAGAAUCAAAAACGAGUCUCGGAAUCCCCACCGCCUCAUCUCCUGGCACUUAAGAAAAGUUACUGGAGACGACCUGAACAGAAAAGCUUUAUCGGAGAGCUUUGACGAUCCCUCUUCCACUCCUCAGAGGAGCAGAACCUUGCAAGGGUAG
This 537-nucleotide long non-coding RNA is filed under the name Zalophus californianus (California sea lion). Its description in RNAcentral is "lncRNA (ENSZCAG00015022397.1)". The record is from RNAcentral. Lineage: Eukaryota; Metazoa; Chordata; Mammalia; Carnivora; Otariidae.